GAUGAACGCUAGCGGCAGGCUUAAUACAUGCAAGUCGAGGGGCAUCAAGGUACACGAAAGUGUAUUGUUGGCGACCGGCGGACGGGUGAGUAAUAGGUAGGUAACCUACCUCAUACUGAGGCAUAGCUGGGAGAAAUUCCAGGUAAUUCCUCAUGAGGUUAUAUGACACAUGUGAUAUAAUCAAAGGUAUCGCAAGGUACUGGUAUGAGAUGGGCUUACUGACCAUUAGCUAGUUGGUGAGAUAAGAGCUCACCAAGGCGAAGAUGGUUAGGGGUUUUGAGAGAGAGAUCCCCCACAUUGGAACUGAGAUACGGUCCAGACUCCUACGGGAGCAGCAGUAGGGAAUAUUGGGCAAUGGCGGAAGCCUGACCCAGCCAUGCCGCGUGAAGGAAGACGGCCUUAUGGGUUGUAAACUUCUUUACUAUGCGACUAACUAGAUUUACGAGAUAAUUCUAUAGAAUGUAGCAUAGCAAAAGCAACCGG
RNAcentral lists this ribosomal RNA (483 nucleotides) under uncultured bacterium. RNAcentral describes it as "bacterial SSU rRNA". It matches the Rfam family "Bacterial small subunit ribosomal RNA", at positions 28 to 496 of the family's 1533-position model. The record is from RNAcentral.